This is an RNA transcript of Styela clava, 6646 nucleotides long. RefSeq lists it as uncharacterized. Lineage: Eukaryota; Metazoa; Chordata; Ascidiacea; Stolidobranchia; Styelidae. The record is from RefSeq and is a predicted model, not a curated record.
UCAGGUUUUCUAUGGUAAUCUUUGGUUAAUUGUAUAUCUGAGUUUUUGAAACCUUAAUGUUGAUGACUGUGUAAUAUCAUCUGCAUAACAAUAUAUAUUCACUACGUUCACUCUUCAAUUAAAUGAGUUAUGGAUGGAAACGGAUAAAUAAAAUUUGGAAUAGGCAGUCUUGGGAUAUAUCCUCGAUGACCUAAUGAUGCCGGCAGAAACAAAGGCCCGAAAUUGGGCUGUUGAAUCGGAUAAUGCAGUCAAAGCUCUUGUCGAUAUUCAAAGUAUGAUAGAUAUUAUGUCCGAGCGACUUGUUGCACUUCGUGAUUUGCGACUCCAGGAAUUUAUAAAAGAUGAGAUUCGAUUAUUGGAAGGCAAACUCAUCAAACAUUUCUGGAGGCAGCUCACAACCAAAUGCAAAGUUCCAAAAAAACACUGGACAGUUGAUUUUCAGACGUACCCAUCAUUAUCACAAUGGCUUACUGUUGUUGGCAUAAAUAAAGAUGUUAAUGAGAUACUAAUGAGAAACAUAAAAUCGGUGGAAACAUUGUUAGAACUAGGUGAGCAUGAAGUUUCAACAAUUUUGCUUGAGAGCGGAGGUAACUCUGAAGAUAAAAGAAAAUUGUGGACAGCUUUAUGUCAAUUGAAAGAGUUUAAGGACAAUCAAGAUAAUACAGAAGGAGUAUAUUGGGAUUCAUGGUGUAAAGAAUCCGCCGAGGGUUUUCAAAAUGGCCUCAAAAACUCCAUACAAGAUGAGGCUUCUAAUAAUUCACAGCCCAAAGCAGAAGUGGAUCACAAUGAAAAUUUUCGAAGAAUUGAUCAAAAUUGUGCAAACACUUCAACAGAUGAACAAAGACAUGCGAACGAUUCUCGACCCCAACGAAAACAUGAAAUUCUAGUCCAUACAGCCUCUGGAAGGACUACAGCGCCUUCAUGGGCUGAUGCGGAUGGCCAAAUUCAGUCUCCCCCAAGUCCAUCACGAAGCUCCAGAAGUUCUCUAUCGUCGUGUGGUCCACCUUCUCCACCAUAUGGUGCUAAGCUACAUGGUUUUCCUCAAAACGCAUAUGAUGGAGGCACUCGAACUCCCCCUGCGAAUAUGUUUACCCCCUCCUACAUGCGUCAUUACGCUCAAGAUCAUCAAAAUGUCUCAAAAACUCGUUCAGGCCAGUCGUCAUUGACAAACACUCCGCCUCCAGUUCGAGCAACAAAAUCUUCAGAAUCAUCGAUUCCACCUCAAAAUAAAGCCGCAGCAAACUUGCUUCUACCGUUUGGCACUAUGAGGACCGCUCGCUCAUACGAAUGGCAAGUUGGGAACCAUAUAACUAAUGUAGGUGAUGAGAGUUUGACAAAUUCUAAUGUAAGUCUAACCUCAAUCAAUACUUUACCGCCACCAUCUUCAUCUGGAACAUCUGGAUCAAAACUGUUUUCUAGCGGCAAGAAAAGAAGGAAGCACCCAGGAAAUAUAGUAAUUGGAAAUAACGAACCACCUGAUUUUAUUUCUUUGGUUACAGCUAACAGAAGAUCAUCCCAAACUCAUAUAUCUCCUGAGAGUGGUUUAUCAACUUGUCAAAGUGGAUCUCCGAUGUCGCCUAGAACGCCGAUGACACCUGCGACUCCAUUCAACAAUGAGAUGUGGAUGCAGCAACGAGAUUUCUCUCCUGUUGUUCCCCAAACACCUAAGACACCUGGUAAACUCAAGGGUGGAUUUCGUGCAAUCAAAGAUAAAAUUAAGGAUAAAUUUGGAAUGCGAUCCCACAAAUUAAGAAGAAACAAGAGUGAAGAAAGAGUAGCUGAUGAACCUGCUGUCUUUCCAACGCAUCACAAAAUACGUUCGGAUACUUUUCCAACCAUAAAUGCGUCUUCUAUUAUACAAUCUUCUCAUGCGACACUCAGUACAAAUGAUUCUCGACAUAAUUCAACACAUUCUUCCAGUUCUUCUAUUGCUUCAAACCAGCUAAUGAGAAUGCAUAAAGAGUCUGCAUCGUUUGAUGCUGGAGCAGGUCUAUCAUCUGGUAUGACAACACCUGGGGAAGCUUCCAUGUUAUCUGGUCGAGAUUUGAACUUUGGAUUUGAUUCAUACUUCAAAAGUUCAUCGACAAAUUUUACUGGUACUGAUAACACUCUGGUUGCCGAGGAGACAGAGCCUAUUUUGGAUGAAUCAACUGCUCAGCAUGCUCAAGAUUCAACUCAUGAAGAGGACGCAGACUCAAUUGCAGAUCUUGAGGAAGAGUCUGAGGAUAUGAGAGCGAGAGUAAACUUGAUGAGACAAACAAGCACUACCAGCACAAUGCACGAUGAAUGGGAUAUACCAUGGGAUGAACUUGUUCUGGGAGAUUGCAUAGGAAAAGGACGAGUUGGAGCUGUAUAUAGAGGAAAAUGGCAUGCUGAGGUCGCUGUCCGUGUAAUAUACAUCUCUCACGUUGAUGACACAAAACUCAGAGCAUUCAAACAUGAGGUGAUGUUGUAUAAAAAAACAAGACAUGAUAACAUUGAACUGUUUAUGGGAUCAUGCAUGAAUCCACCUCGACUUGCUAUUAUUACCGGAAUAUGUAAAGGAUAUUCACUAUAUCAACUUAUUCGAUCGGCAAAAGAUCAACAGGUUCCUUUGAAUAGAGCCAAAUUUAUUGCACAGCACAUUGCACAGGGAAUGGGAUAUCUUCACUCUAGAGGUAUCAUUCAUAAAGAUUUAAAGACGAAGAAUAUAUUCGUGGAUGGAAAUCGAAUUGUUGUCACUGAUUUUGGGUUGAUGGGGCUUCAUGCUAUUUCAACUAAAUCUAUCAGGAUAAAGCCAUUGACUUUGCAAGUACCUGAUGGUUGGUUAUGCUAUAUGGCUCCUGAAAUCAUCCGAGCAUUAUCUGUUCCUUACAAUGAUAUGGACGUUGUUUCCUCCCUUCCAUAUACAAAAGAAUCUGAUGUCUACGCUUUUGGCACUGUUUGGUAUGAACUUUUAACUGGUUGUUGGCCUUUCAAAGACUAUCCAGCAGAAUCAAUUACAUGGCAGGUUGGAAAUGGAAAAAAACAAAGUCUUGCUCAUUUACAAGGACCGAAAGAGCUUAAGGACAUUCUGAUGACUUGUUGGGCAUAUGAACCUUCACAGCGGCCAGAUUUUUCAGACAAUGGAAUUAUGGGACAAAUAUUACGUUUACCGCAAGCAAAAAUGAUUCGAAGGUCAUCUCAACCCAUUAGGGGCAGACAAGGCGCUGCCGCAAAUCAUAGUCGUGAACGCAUGUUUGACCCCACCCGCAUGUUUGAUCCCACCACAGUGUUGCAUGAGCUAGCAGAGUAAUAUAUCAAUCAAUAUAAGUUUUGUUACUGAUUGACGCUUUCGGUCUAGUUAGCUACUUGUGGAAAGUUGAUCAUAUAUGACAAAGCAGGGCAUGGGUCAUGCGUAAAGCACAUUGGUUAUGGCAUAGCUGAGGGCAAGUUACUCAUUCACAAUGACAAUUUCUAGCAGGUUUAUCUUUUAAAAAAUUUGACAACGAUCAAGAUAUUCGGAUUUAUUCAGGAUUAUUUCAGAAAGUAAUUCUCUUCACUGCCUGCCGAGUUCUCAAUGUGAUGUUACAUUUUUUCAUCUUUAUUUGUUGUUAAUUAUGCCUCUGCCUUCAUCAUUUUUUUUUCAUUGUUUUUGCUUUCAUUUUUGAUCACUUCAAUUCAUUUUCAUUUGUUUAGUAUAUUUCAUUGUGUUGCUACAAUGCAACAUACACAAAGUAUGGACUAAAAAUGGGUCGUGUUCAUAAAAUAUAUGCAAGCGACUUUUAGCUUGGAAUGUGAACAUCUAUUCCUUCCAGUUUUGGAAUAUGCCAUUCAUUCACUCAAAUAUUCUGAUUUCGGUCAACUUUUUUGAGAAAAUUGCAUAUGCUUAAAAAUAUCAUUUUGCUAUUCAAUGAUAAGUUAUGUUCAUAUUGUUAAUAACAGAUUGAGGAAGGUUAACAUUACAAGUUGGAUUCAUUUUUGGUGAUUAUGUUUAAAUUUUGCUAUGAAAAAUUAAGAUUUCCAUCUACACGACUAUUCCUUGGCCCUGGCUAGAUUUGACACAUAAAAAUAACAAUUUUUUUUCUAAUUUUAAAUUUGUAAAUCAACAUCGGUUAGAUAGUUAUUGGUCUUGGUCACUUACAGAUUUUUUUUAUUUGCUGCUUCAGGUGGUAAAAUUAUUUUCAUCAAUUAUAUAGAGAUAAAGAAAUUUUAUCAUUGGUAUACCUCUAAUGAUGCAGACAGAUUAUGCUUCGACAAUCACUUACAAUUUUGUUAAAUGAAAACUUGAUAUUUUUUGAAUAUAUUCAGUAUUACUUCAAGUAUUUAUAUUUGUAACAGGAGUCUAUACCAGAUACUAGGCUUUAACUUAACAAAGAUGUAAAAUGAGUUGUUCAUUUUAGAUAUAUAUUCAUUUUCCCAUAGCGAUUUAUCCUUGAUAUCCUUCUGAAUACACUUUUGCUGAUUUAGUAAAAUACCAGAUUUGUUUCCAGUUAUUAAAAAGAUAUAUUAUAGAUAUUAUUAAAACAGAAAUAGUUUAUAUGUUUAGUUUAACGUAUAUAAUUACAGUCGCUUGCAUGAAAUGCCUUCGGUUGUCUUUUAUAAUGAGAGAGAGAGGGGUUGUGUAUUUUGCCUAUUCGGUCUUCUAAAAUAUGCAUUCACAUUUUUUUUUCUAAUCUUUUUUGACCAAAAUAUAUAUAAGCUUGUAGUCUGCCAAGCAAAUGAAAAGAUUAUUGGUAUUUUUGCAAUGAUAUACCUAAUUAAAAUGCAUUUUACUUGUUCUGUGUCGUCCCAUGGUCGCACAUACUUCAAGAACUAUUGCAUCAUAUGCUUCCCACCAUGUUAUGUGAAUAUAAAGCCUCUGACAUCACAUUUUUCAACCUGGCUGUGAGCACAAUUAUGUUCAUUCCAUCACAACAAAGAGAUUUUCAACUGCAUGGGCCAUAGUGAACCUUCAAUGACUCUAGACGACCUUCCAUAUAGGUAAAUGAAAUGAUAAAAAUUUUUGAUGAAUUUUUUGUUGAAAUGUGCUUCAACAUCCCAGUUGAAUCAUCCAUCUUGAACUGUUAGUCGUAAAUGAGAUGUUUCCAGCAAUCUAAAAAUAGCCAUAUUGCGUUAUGAUUAUCUACAACAGGGGUGCGCAACCUUUGAAAAACAUGAGGGCCAGUUACGAAUUGCAGUUACAGGCACAAAAAUUUGUGUUAUUGAUCUUAUGACUUGCGUUGUGGUUCUUAAAAGCGAGCUGUUGGGGCAUUGUUACGUUAUAGGCAUAGAUAUUAAAUUGGAUUCCGGUAUGGGCUUUGCAACUCAAAGGGAUUGGAAGUACUAGCUCGCACACCAUUCAGAAUUGACGCUUCUCCGCGGGCCGCACAAAUUUUCCAUGUGGGCUGCAGGUUGCACACCCCCAAUCCAACUGACUAGCAAAUUCAACUGACUUGAUUGAUAUUUUAUGGAGAAAUGUCUUCCACUUAGAAAGCUCAUUCUGUUUAGAAGUCUGUAAUAUAUUAUCGAUGUCUGUUGUUUAUUUUGCGUUUAAUGACUCUUGCUUGCAUUUCUAUAGAUAUUAUGAAAGAUUCAAACCUCUAUUGAGUCCGAUAUCAGCAUCACCAUCCAACAUGAGUGGAUCUUCAAUCGAUGAUAUAAUUAUCAUAUGAUUUCUUCUCAAUAUUAAGUUGAAAUCUAAUUUAUAUGUUGAAAUUGUUGUAAAAAAUAAAAUUUAUUGUUAUAUUACUUUGAAAUAGUCUCAAAAUACUUGAUGUGCUGGUGAAUUAGAUGUAGAUACAAAAUCAGAUAUAUUUUUCCAUGAUAUCAAGUGAGGUCAAUAUCAAGUACAAUUUAACUAAGCUUAUCUAUGGAUACUUCCAAAAUUUAAUAUGCUUUUCUGAUUUGAUUGUUCACAAAAAUUUUGGAAAAUAAUCCAAGUUGUCGAAGUACAAGCCUGUUUGGAUUAAUAAUAGAAUUCUUAACUUUUUUCAUCAAUUUAUUGACUUGAAGAUCUUUUAAGGUUAUCAUUUUCCUACUUCAGUUUUAUUUUUCGGUUUAGUAUUUGAUUUAUGUCAUUUUGUGCUUAGUUUUCUUGGUAUCUGCGUGGAUAUGACUUCUUUUCGUUGUCUGCGGAUAGUGGGUCAAGAUAAGUUUCCUUUAAUGCUGUAUGCUUUUCAAUGCACCGCUUUCUCUUAUUAUUCAAGCACUGCUUGAAACAGUAUCAUAAAAUCUUUCAAUGCAAGUGUGCAGAAAUGCAAGUUUUGAGCCCAAGUAAGGACUGUAUUCGCUACUGUUAUAUAGUUUUGUCGUGCCAUGUUCCAAGUUAGCAGAGCCUCCAUCACAACUGUUUUUUGUUUUUGUGGAUAAUUUGCGAUCUGUACAGUGAAUACCUUUCGCUAUGAUCACGUGGACUAGGUGAAAUUUCUUUGGAUGGAAUGUGAAAAGUUUCAACUUCUAUUACACAUAUAGAUUUUACAUGUUCAAUUAAAGUAAUCUAAAUUGUCCGAGUUUAGUCCGAUUUCUUUUGUCUAUCAAUCUGUAUUUAAAGGUAACACUUCUCUGUAUUUUCUUAUGACAAUCUUUUCUGUGCAAUCACUCUAUAUUGGCACCUGGGUUAUUGUUAUAUUUUUCCUCCCUCGAAUAUGAAAUUUUGUUACCUUAUAUGAUAUUAUAUGUGAUAAAUACAAUAUAUUGUGGCCAUCCA